UACGUAGGGCGCGAGCGUUAUCCGGAAUUAUUGGGCGUAAAGAGCUCGUAGGCGGUUUGUCGCGUCUGCUGUGAAAACUGGAGGCUCAACCUCCAGCCUGCAGUGGGUACGGGCAGACUUGAGUGCGGUAGGGGAGAUUGGAAUUCCUGGUGUAGCGGUGGAAUGCGCAGAUAUCAGGAGGAACACCGAUGGCGAAGGCAGAUCUCUGGGCCGUAACUGACGCUGAGGAGCGAAAGCAUGGGGAGCGAACAGG
RNAcentral lists this ribosomal RNA (253 nucleotides) under uncultured bacterium. RNAcentral describes it as "partial 16S ribosomal RNA". It matches the Rfam family "Bacterial small subunit ribosomal RNA", at positions 524 to 776 of the family's 1533-position model. The record is from RNAcentral.